Peromyscus leucopus (white-footed mouse) is the source of this 2522-nucleotide long non-coding RNA. RefSeq lists it as uncharacterized. Lineage: Eukaryota; Metazoa; Chordata; Mammalia; Rodentia; Cricetidae. The record is from RefSeq and is a predicted model, not a curated record. The transcript is spliced from 3 exons.
UUCCCUCCACAACAUCUGCAUCAGCUUCUGCCUCCAGGUUCCAGCCCUACUUAAGUUCCUAUUCUUCCUCCAAUGAAGGACUAUGAUGUGGGAGUGUAAGCUAAAUAAACCCUUUCCUCCCCAGCUUGCUUUUUGGUCGUGGUUUUUCAUCACAACAAUAGAAACCCUAACUAAGAUAGCUGGGAAUCAGUGUUCUUCAGUCUAAGUAGAAAGUCAGAUCCGGGGAAGGUCAGACUGUUUGAGGCUUGGAUUGAGUCAUGUUUUAAUGUCCAGGUAAGCAGAGAUAGGAUGGGUAAGGGAAUCAGGGACAGUUGAAUGUUGGCUACUGGGAAGCAGAGCUAUGUUAACUAGUUUGGUGGAUGUGGGACUGAGCCAGCAAACCACAGAUUCUGCGAAACACAAAUCAAGUAUUGCUUCCUCCGCCAAGGCUUUGUUGAGUAUCUACUACCCCGUGGUGAGUUACUAAAACCACUGGCCAAAGGUAGUGUUUGCACCGCAGAAAUCAACUAAUGAUCAAACCAGUGUUCCCCAUCUGCCACCCCACCCCACCUAGCACACCACAGCCUUUGUCAUAGUACUUGUCCCCACAUUAUGUAGUCACAAUACUUCUCUCCUGGAUGAAUUCCAUUUACCAACUUGGUCUAACAAGUAUUAUUGAUAUUUAGUACUGUGUAUCAGAGACUUAUAGCAAGGCACUCGGAGAAGAAUUAAUAAGCAAGGUCCUCACUGGUUUGGCAUUCAACCAUCUAUCAGAUAGGUCAGAAGGUAUGAAUUCUCUAUUUUUCAAACUAAGCUGGGCUGCUGUAUAAUAGAAUAUCUUGGUAACUUGAACAAGGUGGCCCAGGGAGGCACCUUUGAAGAGCUGACUGUCCACUUAGGGCUGAAGGAUGAGAAAGAGAAUGGCUAAAGGGGAGAGCCAAACAGUGUUCCAGCCCCAAAGGGUUAAACUAACUGAAGAGCUGGGCUAGUUAAAGGACAAGAUGGUUAGUUUUGCUUCAGGGCACAGAAUGUGAGCCAUUGUGAGAACCCUAAAUUAAAUUAUAGCCACUGAAGGGUUGAAAUGGGGUAAUAUUCUCUGGUUCACAUUUUAAGACAAACACUCUUGCUUUUGUUUGAAGGACAGGAGUCGAGGUGGGAGUCCUUGUAUCACAGCGAAGCCAAGUGCUGGCGGCGGGACGGAGAAAACUGGAGCGUUUGACAGGACUUGUUAGUCGACUGAAUGUAGUGGAGGAAGGACUGGAGAAGGAAGGGAGAGAAAGAGAGACAGAGUGACUCUUCUUCAGUUUCUUACCAGGAUACAAUGCUUUCAGCUCCAGGCCGGCUCAAUGGCCUCAGCACUCUGAAAGUCUCAGAGAGGACCACGCUGUGAGGAUCUGUUAGCUGUCCUACUCUUGACCUCCUGGCCCUGUGGUAGGACAAUCAGAAGAUGGCUUAUUACACCCAACCAGAACUUGCAGUUCUCUGUGUGGCCAGGCAUCAGGGAAUUUCUGCUCAUGCAUCACUGAACAGCUCAAGAAGAAGGUACCCCAUCAAGGGGUAGUGAUCAACUGUCAGCUCUUCAAAGAAGACACACAACUAGUUUAAGCUGGGAGCUUCCCUUCCAACAUCCAUAACACUCUGUGCUUCUUUCUCUAAGUGAACAUAACAGACACUUCUGUGUUCUGCCAUGUCCUCUUAACAUCACUGCUUCUAUAGACAAGACUAUUCUACUGUGUGCAGCCCCAAGAAUAGGCUAGUCCAGCGGCCAGGGAAGGCCAGAAGUGGGAGUUAUUGGACAAAGGCCACAGAUUACACAUUCUAAUGGGACAACAGCAGACAAAUGCUGCAGUGUCUCUGAGAGAUCCUCAACAGGACUGAGCCCACUGCCCACAGCAGUGGCCUGCUCAUUAGCACACCUGUAUUGGUUUUCACCUCUUCCCUGUCCAGCGUCUCUCUCCUUUUCUUGUGAUUCAUAGGACCCACUGUAUACUCAGUCUAAGACAAUGCACACAGCCUGCUGUAUAUCCUACCUCUGUGCCUUUCUUUCUCCUCAGAUAUGACUAUUUAAUGAAAGAGACUUGACCCACUUCAUAUUUUUAUACUGUGUUUUGCAUUAUGCCUAGACUAUAACACCCAGAAAAUCUAUGUUAAAUGUACAAAUGAGUGAGUCAACUAUAGGCCCAAAGGAUGAUAAUAAUAACAUCUGGCAUUUAGUGUGUCCUUAGAUAACAUUUUCUUCUCUAAUCUUAAUAACAAUCCAGGAACAAGAUGUUCCAUGCUAGGGCUAAGAAGUGAAUAUCUGUAACUACUGAACUUUCCAGAUGUGCUCAAAGCUUGGCUCCUACUCUCUGGCAGUUAGCCUGUCUGCCAGGCUGGCUGCCCCUGACAGCCCUGUCCUCCAGCAGCUCUGGCCUGUGGGAAUUCAUCACCUCUGUUAGGACCGCAGCUUUUGCCGUAUAUAACAGUGAGUGUUCCUUUCUCCUCAUGCCAACUCUUCAGGCCUUGCUCUCUUCUGCUCUUCACAUUAAAAAAAAGAAAGAAAU